UCGAGAAUCUUCCGCAAUGGGCGAAAGCCUGACGGAGCGACACCGCGUGCAGGACGAAGGCCCUCGGGUUGUAAACUGCUGUCACGCUCUAGGAAUGCCAUGUCGUUAAUAGCGGCAUGGUUGACCAAGGCGAAAGGAAGUGGCGGCUAACUCUGUGCCAGCAGCCGCGGUAAGACAGAGGCCACGAACGUUGUUCGGAAUCACUGGGCAUAAAGCGCACGUAGGCGGCCAAGUCCGUCGGAUGUGAAAGCCCCCGGCUCAACCGGGGAAUUGCAUCCGAUACAGCUUGGCUCGAGGACGGUUGGGGUGAGUGGAACUCCUGGUGGAGCGGUGAAAUGCGUAGAUAUCAGGAGGAACACCGGUGGCGAAAGCGGCUCACUGGACCGUUACUGACGCUGAGGUGCGAAAGCUAGGGGAUAAACGGGAUUAGAUACCCAAGUAGUCCCUGAGCGGGCUGGCAAGGCGCAU
Molecule: ribosomal RNA, 468 nt
Filed under: uncultured bacterium
Lineage: Bacteria
Description: bacterial SSU rRNA
Rfam family: Bacterial small subunit ribosomal RNA
Source: RNAcentral